UUGGCUGGAGCCAAAGGGGCAGGGGCAGAUCAAUGCUGGCUGGAGUCAGGCUGCAAGGAAAGUCCACUUGCUGCAGUCCCAUUGACACACAGCUCUUGGGAAGCAUCUGAACCUAAAAGCUGUUAGCUCACAAAUGCUACUUGACUGCCAAAGUCCAUUUUAAAACUGGGAAGUGACAUAUGAUGUUGGGACACUAAUCCAGGAUCCCUCCCUGCCUUACACUGCUGCACAGUCUUCUUGGACCUUUGAUUGGGGAGAGUGGGAAGCAAUGGAAGAAGCCAGCUGUGUAUUCCCCCUCCUUCCCACCCUGCAGAGGGGGAAGUGUGUGGGUGGAGCUUUGGCACCACUCCCUUAGUGCACCAGCCAGCACCGAUGAAUUAGCAGGAGGCCCAGCAAAAGUGACUACCGCUCUUGAGGAGAAAGGAGGAGUUAGGUACCAUCAAGGCACAGUCUAGCCUUGGGAGCAGGAACUUAAUGUUAUUUAAUGGAAUUCACCCUCCAAAGGUGGGUGGAAUUUUAAUUUUUUUUAAAAGGUCCUCGACUGCCAACCUUUCACAGUGCCUCUGUAUGGCAGGUGUUAAUGGCACUGGCUUGCAUCUGUCUCAUGGGCCAGAUUCUCAACUGGUGCAAAUUGGCAUAACUGCAUUGAGCUCUGGUGAUUUACACCCACUGAGGAUCUGGCCUCCUCCAUUUGAUCAGUGUCCCGUUGUACACACAUCAGCUGAUAGGUGGCUACAUGAAAUGGGAAAGCCACGGGAUUGGGGGUGCCCCACAAGGUAUCUCUGAGGGUUGCUUCAUUUCAAGUCAUCUUGUGCAGACAACCUGCUGCUGUUUCGUUUUUGUCCCUGGCAUCUUCUCUGUCUGGCUCAACUUGGCAGCAAGAAGCCGACUGGCUGGCUGUGCUUCCUCACUUUACACACUAUAAUCUUUACCCUCAGUUCAGCACUGAUGCUUAUAGCCACAGACAGGCGAUUUGCUGGGAUUUCUGUUCCUUGUCAUGCUCAGCCGUGGCAUGAAAAUUUCAUGUUGAUUAAUGAGAGCUGCUAGACACUAUGAGCUAUCCCCAGUGAAUCACGCACUAAUUAGUGUCAGCUUUGGUAAAGGCUGUCAAAAGAGGGGAGACGGCUUACAAAAUGAAAACAUCAAGUGUGAGCUGCCCCUGAUUUUCCUACUUAUUUUGCUGUCAUUGCAUGCAAGCAAUAAAUGAUUAGCCCAG
This is a long non-coding RNA of Dermochelys coriacea (leatherback sea turtle), 1216 nucleotides long. RefSeq lists it as uncharacterized. The transcript has 3 exons. NCBI's taxonomy places the organism in Eukaryota, Metazoa, Chordata, Testudines, Dermochelyidae. The record is from RefSeq and is a predicted model, not a curated record.